RNAcentral lists this ribosomal RNA (242 nucleotides) under uncultured Gardnerella sp. RNAcentral describes it as "partial 16S ribosomal RNA". It matches the Rfam family "Bacterial small subunit ribosomal RNA", at positions 116 to 355 of the family's 1533-position model. The record is from RNAcentral. Lineage: Bacteria; Bacillati; Actinomycetota; Actinomycetes; Bifidobacteriales; Bifidobacteriaceae.
CGUGACCNAACCCUGCCCCAUGCUCCAGAAUAGCUCUUGGAAACGGGUGGUAAUGCUGGAUGCUCCAACUUGACGCAUGUCUUGUUGGGAAAGUGUUUAGUGGGCAUGGGAUGGGGUCGCGUCCUAUCAGCUUGUAGGCGGGGUAAUGGCCCACCUAGGCUUCGACGGGUAGCCGGCCUGAGAGGGCGGACGGCCACAUUGGGACUGAGAUACGGCCCAGACUCCUACGGGAGGCAGCAGCC